UCACCAAAAUUUCGCCAUCUACUUCUCUUGGCAGCACAGAAGAAUGGACAAAUGAGCCUACACAUUUUACAUAGAGUAUGGCAAGAGGG
Morus notabilis is the source of this 89-nucleotide long non-coding RNA. RefSeq lists it as uncharacterized. The transcript is spliced from 3 exons. Lineage: Eukaryota; Viridiplantae; Streptophyta; Magnoliopsida; Rosales; Moraceae. The record is from RefSeq and is a predicted model, not a curated record.